GGGUGUGGGUGUGGGUGUGGGUGUGGGUGUGGGUGUGGGUGUGUGAGUAUAUCUUCUUCACUCUCAUCCGCACCCACACCCUCACCCACACCUUCACAU
Molecule: microRNA precursor, 99 nt
Filed under: Adineta vaga
Lineage: Eukaryota; Metazoa; Rotifera; Eurotatoria; Adinetida; Adinetidae
Description: microRNA mir-598
Source: RNAcentral